This 427-nucleotide ribosomal RNA is filed under the name uncultured bacterium. RNAcentral's name for it is "bacterial SSU rRNA". It matches the Rfam family "Bacterial small subunit ribosomal RNA", at positions 355 to 775 of the family's 1533-position model. The record is from RNAcentral.
UCGAGAAUUUUUCACAAUGGGCGAAAGCCUGAUGGAGCGACGCCGCGUGGGGGAUGAAUGGCUUCGGCCCGUAAACCCCUGUCAUUCGCGAGCAAACGUUAUUAUUUAAAAGAUGAUAGCCUGAUAGUAGCGAAAGAGGAAGGGACGGCUAACUCUGUGCCAGCAGCCGCGGUAAUACAGAGGCCCCAAGCGUUGUUCGGAUUUACUGGGCGUAAAGGGUGCGUAGGUGGUGGGGUAAGUCGGAUGUGAAAUCUCCGAGCUCAACUCGGAAAGUGCAUUGGGAACUGCCCUGCUCGAGGGUUGGAGGGGGGACUGGAAUACUUGGUGUAGCAGUGAAAUGCGUAGAUAUCAAGUGGAACACCAGUGGCGAAGGCGAGUCCCUGGACAACUCCUGACACUGAGGCACGAAAGCUAGGGGAGCAAACAG